UGGCGAAUGGGUGAGUAACCGUGAGUACCUGCCCCUCACUCUGGGAUAAGCUGGGAAACUGGGUCUAAUACUGGAUAGACCGAUCUCCGCAUGGAGUGUUGGUGGAAAGUUUUGUGGUGGGGGAUGGACUCGCGGCCUAUCAGCUUGUUGGUGGGGUAAUGGCCUACCAAGGCGACGACGGGUAGCCGGCCUGAGAGGGCGACCGGCCACACUGGGACUGAGACACGGCCCAGACUCCUACGGGAGGCAGCAGUGGGGAAUAUUGCACAAUGGGCGAAAGCCUGAUGCAGCGACCCGCGUGAGGGAUGACGGCCUUCGGGUUGUAAACCUCUUUCACCAGGGACGAAGCUAACGUGACGGUACCUGGAGAAGAAGCACCGGCUAACUACGUGCCAGCAGCCGCGGUAAUACGUAGGGUGCGAGCGUUGUCCGGAAUUAUUGGGCGUAAAGAGCUUGUAGGCGGUUGGUCGCGUCUGCUGUGAAAGACCGGGGCUUAACUCCGGUUCUGCAGUGGGUACGGGCAGACUAGAGUGUGGGUAGGGGAGACUGGAAUUCCUGGUGUAGCGGUGAAAUGCGCAGAUAUCAGGAGGAACACCGAUGGCGAAGGCAGGUCUCUGGGCCAUUACUGACGCUGAGAAGCGAAAGCAUGGGGAGCGAACAGGAUUAGAUACCCUGGUAGUCCAUGCCGUAAACGUUGGGCGCUAGGUGUGGGACUCAUUCCACGAGUUCCGUGCCGCAGCUAACGCAUUAAGCGCCCCGCCUGGGGAGUACGGCCGCAAGGCUAAAACUCAAAGGAAUUGACGGGGGCCCGCACAAGCGGCGGAGCCUGCGGAUUAAUUCGAUGCAACGCGAAGAACCUUACCAAGGCUUGACAUACCACCGGAAUCAUGCAGAGAUGUGUGSGUUUUUGGACUGGUGUACAGGUGGUGCAUGGUUGUUGUCAGCUUGUGUUGUGAGAUGUUGGGUUAAGUCCCGCAACGAGCGCAACCCUUGUUCCAUGUUGCCAGCACUUWAAGGUGGGGACUCAUGGGAGACUGCCGGGGUCAACUCGGAGGAAGGUGGGGAKGACGUCAAAUCAUCAUGCCCCUUAUGUCUUGGGCUUCACGCAUGCUACAAUGGCCGGUACAGAGGGUUGCGAAACCGUGAGGUGGAGCUAAUCCCAAAAAACCGGUCUCAGUUCGGAUUGGGGUCUGCAACUCGACCCCAUGAAGUCGGAGUCGCUAGUAAUCGCAGAUCAGCAACGCUGCGGUGAAUACGUUCCCGGGCCUUGUACACACCGCCCGUCAAGUCACGAAAGUCGGUAACACCCGAAGCCGGUGGCCUAACCCUUGUGGGGGGAGCCGUCGAAGGUGG
Molecule: ribosomal RNA, 1353 nt
Filed under: Arsenicicoccus bolidensis
Lineage: Bacteria; Bacillati; Actinomycetota; Actinomycetes; Micrococcales; Intrasporangiaceae
Description: 16S ribosomal RNA
Rfam family: Bacterial small subunit ribosomal RNA
Source: RNAcentral